GAAGAGACGCUGAGUGGGGAGGAGAGAGGGACAGAGAGGAGAGGAGCCGCUUACAUGAGUGUAAGCGGCUCCUGUCUGGUUGGUUCCUUCCUUUAAAGCAAGCAGGCUCUCUGUCCCUCUCUCCUCCCCACUCAGCUCGCUACAU
This is a non-coding RNA of Podarcis lilfordi (Lilford's wall lizard), 145 nucleotides long. The record is from the annotation of a GenBank genome assembly. Lineage: Eukaryota; Metazoa; Chordata; Lepidosauria; Squamata; Lacertidae.